Molecule: long non-coding RNA, 152 nt
Organism: Mugil cephalus (flathead mullet)
Lineage: Eukaryota; Metazoa; Chordata; Actinopteri; Mugiliformes; Mugilidae
Exons: 3
Source: RefSeq, a predicted model, not a curated record
CCGCUACUCGUCAUACCCGACACGCCAGAAAAGCAAGUCAGACAACCGGCUAACACUAAAGAAGCUGACACUGACGGAGGACCAUCUGGAUCCGAAAUUAGCAUACCAGAAGCGCCAGAGAAAGCCGUGACUGACGACUCCAGGCCAUACCC